Molecule: long non-coding RNA, 335 nt
Filed under: Panax ginseng (ginseng)
Lineage: Eukaryota; Viridiplantae; Streptophyta; Magnoliopsida; Apiales; Araliaceae
Description: long non-coding RNA (PGIN_LNC004273)
Source: RNAcentral
CCCUGUAUAUCCUAUAACCAUAGAAUUCCAACUAAAACCACUCUAUCCCCCCCUCUUUUAUUUUGGUGUCUCAUCAACAACCCGACAAGUAAACCCCAAUUCCCCAUUCUUCACUUACCAAUCAAUUGUUAAACUCCAAGUCACCUAAAUCUCAGUUGGAACUCACAUCAAACACCUUUGAGUGCAUCCCCAAUGCUCCCACAAACAGAGAACAUAUGAAUCAUCCCAUUCAAAACAGACAAAGCCAAGUUUCACAAUCCUGGUAUGAGCUCUUUCUCUUUCAAUCAAAAAACUAAACUCAGCAAAAAUCUUCGCAAGGAUAGGAAAAGUGUAAU